RNAcentral lists this non-coding RNA (21 nucleotides) under Caenorhabditis elegans. Lineage: Eukaryota; Metazoa; Nematoda; Chromadorea; Rhabditida; Rhabditidae. The record is from RNAcentral.
UCAUCCUUUCGUGUUCAAUUG